UUCUUGUUUGAAUUUUGAAUAUUUUAAAUUCAGUUCCAACAUAUAUUUUUUGUUUUUCUAAUUACAACAAAAAUGUAUGAAGAAGUAAAAGCAUUUUUAGAGUUUAUUGAUAAUAUUGGAGAAGAAAAUCGCCCGGGAAGUAUACAAAAGCGAUAUAUUCAAGAUAAAAAUAUAAUCUAAAAUACAAUGGAGUAUUACAAUAUUGAAGUUCAUCAGCGAAUCAGCGCAUUAACUUAAACAAUAAAGGUUUUAUGCUACUUAUAGGAAUAUAACCAGUUUUUAUGAGGACCCCGCUUUCCAAAAAUGUACAGGUACUAGAAGAGAAAUUAUGUGUAUUAUUGUUCAACAACAAGGUUAUCAAGUCAUUCAAUAUUUGAUCUAAGAGCAUUAAGAGUGAAAUUGUGAAAUGGAAAGAAGUGAAAUUCCAGGAUUAUUAAUAGGAAUAGAUGACAGUAGUGGGUAUGCAUGCAGACACUAUCUACUUACCCCAGUAUUACACCCAGGUAAUGAUCAAGAAAAUAAGAUUUUUACCAUAGUACUCAUGUGAGAACAAGAAAUGUAGAAAAGCUAUUUGGAACCUGGAAAAGAGUUUCCUUGUCUUCAACAAGGUCUACAAACCAAAUUAUAUACAUGUCUUGCAAUAAUAUGUGCUACAGCAGUACCUUACAAUCUAGGUAAAUAAUGAUCUGGUGGUAAAUAGACAUGUUAAUGAUGUGGAACAAUUUCUAAAUUUUUGGUGACAUUUUUUUCAACAAUAUUUUGCAUGAGAAUACAUUAUUGAAUACCUA
Long non-coding RNA from Diabrotica virgifera virgifera (western corn rootworm), 788 nucleotides. RefSeq lists it as uncharacterized. The record is from RefSeq and is a predicted model, not a curated record. The transcript is spliced from 3 exons. NCBI's taxonomy places the organism in Eukaryota, Metazoa, Arthropoda, Insecta, Coleoptera, Chrysomelidae.